Molecule: transfer RNA, 70 nt
Filed under: Euphractus sexcinctus
Lineage: Eukaryota; Metazoa; Chordata; Mammalia; Cingulata; Chlamyphoridae
Also listed under: 1 other name
Description: tRNA-Gly
Rfam family: tRNA
About the family: Transfer RNA (tRNA) molecules are approximately 80 nucleotides in length. Their secondary structure includes four short double-helical elements and three loops (D, anti-codon, and T loops). Further hydrogen bonds mediate the characteristic L-shaped molecular structure. tRNAs have two regions of fundamental functional importance: the anti-codon, which is responsible for specific mRNA codon recognition, and the 3' end, to which the tRNAs corresponding amino acid is attached (by aminoacyl-tRNA synthetases). tRNAs cope with the degeneracy of the genetic code in two manners: having more than one tRNA (with a specific anti-codon) for a particular amino acid; and 'wobble' base-pairing, i.e. permitting non-standard base-pairing at the 3rd anti-codon position.
Source: RNAcentral
GUUCUCUUAGUAUUAAAUAGUACAGUUGACUUCCAAUCAACCAGUUUCGGUACAAACCCGAAAUAGAACA